Molecule: long non-coding RNA, 895 nt
Organism: Esox lucius (northern pike)
Lineage: Eukaryota; Metazoa; Chordata; Actinopteri; Esociformes; Esocidae
Source: Ensembl
GCCUGCCUUACCCGUCCAGCGAGAGCGUGGACGAGAGAACAACACACUGGUAGUAGGAUUCGCUGCAGUAACGCUGGUUGUGGAAUGUAGUGCCAAUCUGAACAAAAGCAAGAGGAUCUACAACUAUCAACAUUCACGGGCCAGACGUGUGAUUGAGAACUCACUUGGUAUGACGGUCGCAAGUUGGAGAAUUCUAGACAGAUCGUCGAAUUCCUACCAGACAAAUGUACACCUGUUGUGAAGGCCUGUGCUGCACUGCACAACUAGCUGGCCUAUACAGAUGCUGCCAACACACCUGCAACAAAGUAUAUACCACCUAAUUUCAAAGACUCUUUUGAACAAUGGCUAGGCACAGCCAGGGAGUGGAGAAGACAGGUCACAGAGGGAGGCGCCUUGGCUGAUGCAGGGAGAGCCUCUUGGGCUGCUGUUGGAGUCCGCAAUGACCUGAUGAGGUUUUUCCAUGUGCCAUGGGAGGAUACGGUGCUGAGGGCAAGCCUGCUGAACUCUGUGAAUUAUGGACAUACACAUUUAAAGAAAAGAACUCUUUAUUUUGUUAAAUAUUUGUAUGUACAAUUGUAAGUGUUAUAAAGUAUUGCUAACAAUGAAAAGAGCAGACUACAUAGAAGUUACUUAAAAUGCAGAGAAAGUGCACUCAAGUAUUUUGUUCAAAAAUGCACUCUCUCUGCAUUUUAAAUCAAAGAAUAAAUAAAAUUAAACAAUAUUGAAUCAGAUAACUCAAAAAGGUCAACAUCCAUGAAGUAUGCAAAUUAUUUUGACUCAAAUCACUUCAAAAAAGAUUACUUUAGCCACAUUGGGGUGUGUAUUCAAAGUGUCUUCAGCACUUUCCCCAUCUCAAAUAAAAACUGAUGGAUUUUGAACUUGGCUCGACCUUUUA